AAUGUGUGGGACAAAGGGUCACAACCUUGCGAGGGUAAGCUAACUUCAUAAACCCGUCCCCAGUUUAGAUUGCAGGCCGCAACUCGCCUGCAAAAAG
This is a non-coding RNA of Triticum aestivum (bread wheat), 97 nucleotides long. NCBI's taxonomy places the organism in Eukaryota, Viridiplantae, Streptophyta, Magnoliopsida, Poales, Poaceae. The record is from Rfam.